AAGCUGCUCCCAUGCGUCGUCGACCUCGGUCGACACCAUGCUCGCAGCACGGGGCCUCGGCUGCACCGCGGAAUCCUCCGCGCCGCCCCAACCCGUCCGCUCCGCACCGCCUUGCGGACGAACGCCGGCCAGGCGUCGGUGC
Molecule: non-coding RNA, 142 nt
Organism: Pseudomonas sp. EGD-AK9
Lineage: Bacteria; Pseudomonadati; Pseudomonadota; Gammaproteobacteria; Pseudomonadales; Pseudomonadaceae
Source: Rfam